CAGUAGCCGCGGUAAUACGAAGGGGGCUAGCGUUGCUCGGAAUGACUGGGCGUAAAGGGCGCGUAGGCGGUUUAUACAGUCAGAUGUGAAAUUCCUGGGCUCAACCUGGGGACUGCAUUUGAUACGUAUGGACUUGAGUGGAGAAGAGGGUCGUGGAAUUUCCAGUGUAGAGGUGAAAUUCGUAGAUAUUGGAAAGAACACCGGUGGCGAAGGCGGCGACCUGGUCUUUAACUGACGCUGAGGCGCGAAAGCGUGGGGAGCAAACAGGAUUAGAUACCCCCGUAGUCCCUGUCUCUUAUAC
This 301-nucleotide ribosomal RNA is filed under the name uncultured bacterium. RNAcentral's name for it is "partial 16S ribosomal RNA". It matches the Rfam family "Bacterial small subunit ribosomal RNA", at positions 509 to 807 of the family's 1533-position model. The record is from RNAcentral.